Caenorhabditis elegans is the source of this 214-nucleotide non-coding RNA. NCBI's taxonomy places the organism in Eukaryota, Metazoa, Nematoda, Chromadorea, Rhabditida, Rhabditidae. The record is from Ensembl.
UCAUUAUACAAAACCAAUAUGGAAUUUGUCGAGGAAAAUGAAUGAAAUGACAAGGAGGGAAAUGAGGAGGGGGGAGAGGAAGAAGUUUUCAACAAAAAACUUGUUCCCACUUGGCAGGGAAAUGGAAAGAGGAUGAAAAAAAACGCGGACAAAAGCAGAUGUUCGAAAAGAAAACAAAAGUAAAUCCUCCUUUCUUUUUUUGUUUCUCCCUCAU